Polypterus senegalus (gray bichir) is the source of this 1549-nucleotide non-coding RNA. The record is from the annotation of a RefSeq genome assembly. Lineage: Eukaryota; Metazoa; Chordata; Cladistia; Polypteriformes; Polypteridae.
AAGUCAGGUAAGGUUAGUUCUGCACUUAAUAGAUAAAAUAAUAAUUUUUGCCUUUCAGCUUCUCCAAAAGUCUCUGUGAAGUCUCUGGUGGUGAUGAAUGUGGUCAAUGUAUUGGAGUGUCAUGUGGACAACUUCUAUCCAAGUGAGAUCUCCAUAGAGUGGCUUAGAGCUUCCCAGCCUCUUCCUCCACAAGAUAAACCACAGCCGGAGCGCAAUCUUGAUGGCACCUUCAGCGCCGUGAGCCGUUAUCACUACACCCCGACUUCCGAAGAUAGUGAUGUGGCCUUCAGCUGCAAAGUGAGGCAGGAAUGUCAGGAGAGGCCACUGGAGGAGACCUUUCAUCUGCAAUUCCGCAAGCGAGCGUCUGUGAAGUUAACUUCCAUCAAUUUGCCGCAGAGUCAGAAGCUGAUCUCUUGUGUUGCUGAAGAUUUCUAUCCAGCAGAUGCCAAAGUGAUCUGGAAGAAAAAUGGACAUCCUGUCAACAGCACAGAGCAAGGGAAUGAUGGCAACUUCAAAAAAAGAAUAUACCAUAAGCUAGGAGCUACCGAGAUGGAAAAUGAGUACACAUGUGAAGUGAGUCAGGAGGGAUUCAAUGACUCACUGAGAGAGAACAGAUUCACACAGAAAGAUGAGUGUGGAUGUACAAGGCAGACAAUUGUCCUGACAGUAGUUGGGGUCCUGUUUGCUGAAAUUGUCCUGGGGCUGUUCUGCUACUUUAUUUACAUAAAGAAGAACUUAAACUGCAAAGGUUUGACUAAAACUUCAAGUGGAUCCCCAGAACAGGCACCAUGUUUAACAACAGGGGAAACUGAAAACAAGAAUGAGAGAACGCUGAUGAAGAACAAUAAGGAUCAGGAUGCUGCAGAACCUUUUUUACAGCCAAGCAAUUCACUGUCGAAGCAUUCUGGAGCUGACCAUGACGAGAAGUGUGUUAAUAGCUAAAUCACAAUAAGUUAAUUUUGGGCCUGGGAUAAAGUCUUUGUGACAUCAUUAUAUUUACAAGGUUUGUACAGGUCAAUGUAUGAAGUAGGGUGGACAUACUUAAGCUAUUCGAUUUUAGCCCAACUUACAAGCUCAGUACUAUAUUGUGAGAAAAUCACUGACGGUCAUAAGUCGCUACUUGCAAAGUAUGGUACUUUCCAAUCCGAUCCAAAUGGCUUAUAAUCCUCCAUUUUUUUUUUUUUUGUGGACAUGCUAAAAGCAUCUGGGUACUGCCAAUGUGAGUUCUUCAGGUGUGAAAGAUCAUUCAAGCAGAAUCUGCAUUUCAGUGCCCUUUGACCAGUCAGAAAGCAACUGCAUGUUUAUGGUAUUGCAAGUAUGACUGCAAGACAUUCGUAGAUGAAUGUGAAAGAAACUUUAGUGGAAAGAGAACCAUUGACUCGAUGUCAUGAUCAGGGGCCUCAUGCAUAACGCUGUGCGUAGAAUUCACACUAAAACAUGGCGUACGGAUGAAAGCGGAAAUGCGCUUAUGCACCAAAAAAUCCAGAUGCAUAAAUCUGUGCGUACACCAACUUCCACGUUCUUCCGCUACAUAAAUCCCAGUCAGCGU